UAGAAAUCUGCAACCAAUAUAUAUAUAUAUAUAUAUAUAUAUAUAUAUAUAUAUAUAUAGAGAGAGAGAGAGAGAGAGAGAGAACCAGAGAGUUUGUUUAUAGGCAGGCAGGCCAGCAAUAAUCGACAGCAAGAUGCUAUGUACACAUUUUCUCAUCUGUACAUACAUCUUUAUUAUAUAUCAGGGUGCAACUUAACAAAUUAUCACCAUCACAUGUCUUCAAUUGUGAGAAUUGUGGUUGUGAUUCUCAUACUUGAUACUCCUACCCUAUUAAUUAAACAUGAACAAACCAAUAAAAUCAAGCUACAUACACAUUUACAUCCAUCAUAUAUAUUACAUACAUAGCACAGCACCAAAAAAGGAAGGUUCGAAUUUGAAACACAAAGGAUGGCAACAAGAAGGUUCGGAUGUCAUGUUCAU
RNAcentral lists this long non-coding RNA (420 nucleotides) under Triticum aestivum (bread wheat). Its description in RNAcentral is "long non-coding RNA (TAES_LNC013883)". The record is from RNAcentral. Lineage: Eukaryota; Viridiplantae; Streptophyta; Magnoliopsida; Poales; Poaceae.